RNA transcript from Mus musculus (house mouse), 10765 nucleotides. It is a transcript of the gene named adenylate cyclase 6, with no coding region annotated. The transcript is spliced from 21 exons. The record is from RefSeq and is marked validated. Lineage: Eukaryota; Metazoa; Chordata; Mammalia; Rodentia; Muridae.
ACCCAGUCCAAGGCGUGUUCUUUCUGAAAAUGUAGGAUCUUAGUCCGAUUUAGUUGUCCGGUGUCUUUACGACCAGGGUGAAACAUGGAAAACUGCUCUGGAUGUCAGCUCUCCGUUUUUUGUUUGUUUGUUUGUUUGUUUUUGUUUUUCUCUUUCAAAUCUGCCCUGGGAGGCCGUAGGACAAGCUUCACGGGCCUUUGGUGAAGAAGACAUGAAAUUAGGCAUGUGAAAAGAUAUUGGAAGUUUACGACAGAGAGAAAAUAUAAUAUAGCUAGUGGCCGGCCAUCCAUCCGCUCAGCAAACGUUGAGGAGCAGCGGGCACCACAGGACACAACCAAACACCCAAAUCUUUGGCUCUCCCAAGUUGGCACGGCUGUUAGGAGUGCCGACGAGCAAAUAAGAAAAAGGAAAAUUAUAGAACGGCAGUUGCUGAUAAGAGCUGCGGGGAGAGAGAAAAAUUAUAAAGCUGGGGAGGGAGAUACGGAGCCCCAGGAAAGGGAGUUGCUAUUUUAAAAGGCUGUGAGAGAGCAGAGCUGAUAAGGGACUUGGGCUGUGACCUAAAGGAGCUCCUAUUCCAGUUGGGAACAGCAAGUACCAGGGUACCAGCCUGGGCAGAGCCUGGCAUACUGGGGAACAGCAGACAGGCUGGUGUGACAGGUGUGAUGAGGAAGACACGGGACCUGGACUGUCAGAAUUAGCUGGGUUAUUAGUUAUUCCAUGUGGACUGCUCUAAAGCAUUCAUGUUCUUUCUCCUUGUCGGCUCUCCACCCAGCUCUUUGUGAUACUAAGUGUGGAACCCAACGCCUUGUGUGUUCUAAACAGGCAUUCUACCACUGAGCCGCACUCCCCUCCCUCCUUUCCUCCUUAUUGUUUGCUCCUACGUUUAUUGAGCACCUACUGUUAGCCCCAAUAGCUCUGGAGAUGAAGUGCUGACAAAAAUAGGUAUAGUUUCUACAUGCACAAAGCUUGUAGUCCCCGGGACGGAGGCGUACGUUAAACGAGAAAUGAUUUAAUUAUAAUGGCAAUAAGUACUGUGGAGGAGAUGAACAGAGGUUAAACUGGACCAAACGUAGUCUUAGGGGUGGGGCUGGGAAAUUUUCCGUGAGGAAGUAACGUUUAAACUGUGACCUGUGGGAGAAAUUGAAUUUAGUUUGCUGAAGAGUGUGUGUGUGUGUGUGUGUGUGUGUGUGAGAGAGAGAGAGAGAGAGAGAGAGGGGGGAAGGAGGGAAGGAAGGAAGGAAGGAUAUGGAAAGAAUCCCUUUUGUGUAGAGGUCAACGAUCAACAGUUCACAGCAGAACAUAUUCUGUUGACAAGAUGUAUUAGGCUUGUGUGUAGUUUGUUUUUGUUUUGUUUUCUUUUCUGAGACAGGGUUUCUCUGUGUAGCCCUGGCUGCCCUGCAACUCACUUUGUAGACCAGGCUGGCCUCGAACUCAGAAAUCUGCCUGCCUCUGCCUCCCGAGUGCUGGGAUUAAAGGCGUGUGCCACCACACCCAGCUCAAUUUUUUAAAAUAUGCUUUUAUGUGCAUUGGUGUUUUGCUUUCAUGCAUGUUUGCAUGAGAAAGUCAAAGCCCCUGGAGCUGGAGCCAUAAACAGUUGUAAGAUCUGCUUUGUGGGUGCUAGGAAUUGAACCAGAGUCCUUCAGAAGUAUGGGGAGUGCUCUUAAAAACUUAGCUCUCAGAUCCUUUACUUAUAUGGUUGCUGGGUCUUUUCCAUGUGUCUGUGUUCCUUACCUUUGAGUGGGGGUGCAGCUGCCUCUCCUGGGGCAGUUUUAUCAAGACGGUGGGAAUGGGAACUGGUGAGAUGGCUCCUCAGUUAAGAGCACUGACUGCUCUUCCGGAGGUCAUGGGUUCAAGUCCCAGCAACCACAUGGUGGCUCACAACCAUCCACAACGAGAAGCAAGCAAGCAGGGCUGGAGCAAGAGGGAGAAGGGGGGGAAGAUGGUGGGAAUGAAGACCAGAGUUGUAGGAAGCGCUCAGGUCACAGGCUACUAUGGUGGCUGUGGCCACGCAGUGGUAUUAAUACCAUUCCCUGUCUCUCCUCCCAGCAGCAUGUCAUGGUUUAGUGGCCUCCUGGUUCCCAAAGUGGAUGAACGGAAAACAGCUUGGGGGGAACGCAAUGGGCAGAAGCGCCCACGCCACGCGAAUCGAGCCAGUGGCUUCUGCGCACCUCGCUACAUGAGCUGCCUCAAGAAUGCGGAGCCACCCAGCCCCACUCCUGCAGCUCACACUCGGUGCCCCUGGCAGGAUGAAGCCUUCAUCAGGAGGGCGGGCCCGGGCAGGGGUGUGGAGCUGGGGCUGCGGUCAGUGGCCUUGGGGUUUGACGACACUGAGGUGACCACACCGAUGGGCACAGCUGAAGUGGCACCGGAUACAUCGCCUCGGAGCGGUCCGUCCUGCUGGCACCGGCUUGUGCAGGUGUUCCAGUCUAAGCAGUUCCGCUCUGCCAAGCUGGAGCGGCUGUACCAGCGGUACUUCUUCCAGAUGAACCAGAGCAGCCUCACGCUGCUCAUGGCGGUGCUGGUGCUGCUCAUGGCUGUACUGUUGACUUUCCACGCUGCGCCUGCCCAGCCUCAGCCUGCUUACGUGGCCCUGCUGACCUGUGCCUCUGUCCUUUUUGUGGUACUCAUGGUGGUGUGUAACCGACACAGCUUCCGCCAGGACUCCAUGUGGGUGGUGAGCUAUGUGGUCCUGGGCAUCCUAGCAGCCGUGCAAGUCGGGGGUGCCCUGGCAGCCAAUCCACACAGCCCCUCGGCGGGCCUUUGGUGCCCCGUGUUCUUCGUCUACAUCACCUACACUCUUCUUCCCAUUCGCAUGCGAGCCGCAGUACUCAGCGGCCUGGGCCUCUCUACUCUGCAUUUGAUUUUGGCCUGGCAGCUCAACAGCAGCGACCCCUUCCUUUGGAAGCAGCUCGGUGCUAACGUGGUGCUCUUCCUCUGCACCAAUGCCAUCGGUGUCUGCACACACUACCCUGCUGAAGUGUCUCAGCGCCAAGCCUUUCAGGAGACCCGAGGUUACAUCCAGGCGCGGCUGCACCUGCAGCAUGAGAACCGUCAGCAGGAACGGCUGCUGCUAUCGGUGUUGCCCCAGCACGUUGCCAUGGAGAUGAAAGAAGACAUCAACACAAAAAAAGAGGACAUGAUGUUCCAUAAGAUCUACAUCCAGAAGCAUGAUAAUGUCAGCAUCCUGUUUGCGGACAUUGAGGGCUUCACCAGCCUGGCCUCCCAGUGCACUGCACAGGAACUGGUCAUGACCUUGAAUGAGCUCUUUGCCCGGUUUGACAAGCUGGCUGCGGAGAAUCACUGUCUGAGGAUCAAGAUCUUAGGAGACUGUUACUACUGCGUGUCAGGGCUGCCCGAGGCCCGGGCAGAUCACGCCCACUGCUGUGUGGAGAUGGGGGUAGACAUGAUCGAAGCCAUCUCGCUGGUGCGUGAGGUAACAGGUGUGAACGUGAACAUGCGUGUGGGCAUCCACAGCGGACGUGUGCAUUGCGGCGUCCUUGGCCUACGGAAAUGGCAGUUUGAUGUCUGGUCAAACGAUGUGACCCUGGCUAACCACAUGGAGGCCGGGGGCCGGGCCGGCCGCAUCCACAUCACUCGGGCUACACUGCAGUACUUGAACGGGGACUAUGAGGUGGAGCCAGGCCGUGGUGGUGAACGCAAUGCGUACCUCAAGGAGCAGUGCAUUGAGACCUUCCUCAUACUUGGCGCCAGCCAAAAACGGAAAGAGGAGAAAGCCAUGCUGGCCAAGCUUCAGCGGACACGGGCCAACUCCAUGGAAGGACUGAUGCCCCGCUGGGUUCCUGACCGUGCCUUCUCCCGGACCAAGGACUCUAAGGCAUUCCGCCAGAUGGGCAUUGAUGAUUCUAGCAAAGACAACCGGGGUGCCCAAGAUGCUCUGAACCCUGAAGAUGAGGUGGAUGAGUUCCUGGGCCGAGCCAUCGAUGCCCGAAGCAUCGACCAACUGCGUAAGGACCAUGUGCGCCGGUUCCUGCUCACCUUCCAGAGAGAGGAUCUUGAGAAGAAGUAUUCACGGAAAGUAGAUCCUCGCUUCGGAGCCUACGUCGCCUGUGCCCUCCUGGUUUUUUGCUUCAUCUGUUUUAUCCAGCUCCUUGUGUUCCCAUACUCCACCCUGAUACUCGGGAUUUAUGCCGCUAUCUUCCUGCUGUUGCUGGUCACUGUGCUGAUCUGUGCCGUGUGCUCCUGCGGUUCUUUCUUCCCCAAGGCCCUGCAACGCCUGUCCCGCAAUAUUGUCCGCUCACGGGUGCACAGCACCGCGGUUGGAAUCUUCUCGGUUCUGCUUGUGUUCAUCUCUGCCAUCGCCAACAUGUUUACCUGUAAUCACACCCCAAUAAGGACCUGCGCGGCCCGGAUGCUGAACUUAACACCAGCGGAUGUCACCGCCUGCCACCUACAACAGCUCAAUUACUCUCUGGGACUGGAUGCUCCCCUGUUACUUCGUCGGGAACGUGCUGCUGAGUCUUCUAGCCAGCUCUGUCUUCCUACACAUCAGCAGCAUCGGCAAGCUGGCCAUGACCUUCAUCUUGGGGUUCACCUACUUGGUGCUGCUUUUGCUGGGUCCCCCGGCCGCCAUCUUUGACAACUAUGAUCUACUGCUUGGCGUCCAUGGCUUGGCUUCCUCCAAUGAGACCUUUGAUGGGCUGGACUGCCCAGCUGUGGGGAGGGUAGCGCUCAAAUAUAUGACCCCCGUGAUUCUGCUGGUGUUUGCCCUGGCACUGUAUCUGCAUGCACAACAGGUGGAAUCGACUGCCCGCCUGGACUUCCUGUGGAAGUUACAGGCAACAGGGGAGAAGGAGGAGAUGGAGGAGCUACAGGCAUACAACCGGAGGUUGCUGCAUAACAUUCUUCCCAAGGACGUGGCCGCCCACUUCCUGGCCCGGGAACGCCGCAACGAUGAGCUGUACUACCAGUCGUGUGAAUGUGUGGCUGUCAUGUUUGCCUCCAUCGCCAAUUUCUCGGAGUUCUACGUGGAGCUCGAGGCAAACAACGAGGGCGUGGAGUGCCUGCGGCUGCUCAAUGAGAUCAUCGCAGACUUUGACGAGAUCAUCAGUGAGGAGAGAUUCCGGCAGUUGGAGAAGAUCAAGACCAUCGGUAGCACCUACAUGGCCGCCUCUGGGCUAAAUGCCAGCACCUAUGACCAGGUCGGCCGCUCACACAUCACGGCGCUGGCUGACUAUGCCAUGCGGCUCAUGGAGCAGAUGAAACACAUCAAUGAACACUCUUUCAACAAUUUCCAGAUGAAGAUCGGGUUGAACAUGGGUCCGGUUGUAGCAGGCGUCAUUGGGGCCCGAAAGCCACAGUAUGACAUCUGGGGAAAUACCGUGAAUGUUUCCAGUCGUAUGGACAGCACUGGAGUUCCUGACCGAAUACAGGUGACUACGGACCUAUACCAGGUUCUAGCUGCCAAGGGCUACCAGCUGGAGUGUCGAGGGGUGGUCAAGGUGAAGGGAAAGGGGGAGAUGACCACCUACUUCCUCAACGGGGGCCCCAGCAGUUAGCAGAGUGCAGCAGCUGAGAUUCAACCGAAGGGACCAAGGUGGGCAUUGAGUGGGACUUUGUGCUCGCUGGGUGGAGCUGUGACAGGGGGGCACUGAGCCUCCGGAUCUUGCUGACAGCAAAAGGGAACACCCCAGCGGCUGCGCUUGGACUGUGUUCGUCUGCCUUCAGAAUGGCGAUGGAGGGGACGCCGAGAGGAUUAUCCGAGGGACUUUCUUAAUUGGAGUAAGGCUGGUCUUCGUUUGUUUGGAUGCAGAUGAGAAAGCGCAGAGGCCUGGGAGCCUCCUGUUUGAGAGUUAAAUGGCAACUCUCUAUGCCUACUGUUUCCCUGUCUGGGCAACAGGCUCAGGGCUGGGUCCUUUCUUUCCCUAUUUUUCCUGGGACUACUUUUUGUACAAAGACUGUGGCAGGCAUGAAGAACACUUGCCUUUGCUUGCCUGUGUCUGCAGCACGGGUCUUGGGCACUCUCAGAACCAGCCAAUUCUCCUUCUUAGGCACAAGGCAGAAGAAGGAGGUUCUAUGGGACCUAGCUCUGACUGACCAUAUUUCAGGGGAAUGUUUCCAUUUGCCAAAUCCUAGUCCCGUGAUCUGUCCCCAAAGGGGAACAAAGGGACCUCUGACAGUGAAGAUUUAGCCCCAGUUCCUGCAUGAUCCUGGGAAAGGGGCAUCUGGCUUUACUGGUACUGUGAAAAUGACCAGCCAGAGAGCAAGCCUGUGUGUGUGAGGUCAUCCGAAGAACAGGAACUGGAUGGUGGAUGGUGACCUGCAGGUGCCAAAGAAUGCAGCAGGCAGCCAGGGAGGAGGAGGAGGAGAAGGAGGAGGAGGAGGAGGAGGAGGAGGCCGCCACACUGACCUGAGGUCUCAGUGUGCUCGAAUGCUCACUUGCUGCCUGCUGGCAGGGGCCAUGGAACAUCUCUAUCCCUUGUAUUGCCAAAUAGCAAAAGGGUCAGGGUUCCAAAAAAGAUGACCUGACCCCAAACCUGGCCUCCUAAGUCUGGCACUAGGGAGGUCCUGUGUGUUUGUGUAAUUGUGUGGGCCUGUGUGUUGUGUGUGUAUGUGUGUCUGUCUGUCUGUCUGUCUGUCUUUGAGGUCUCCAUGUGUCCUCAUGCUCCAGUUCCUCAGCUCUUCACCGGGGACUGCCUCUCUCCCGUGGGCCUCUGUCUUCUGGCGUUAAGGCCAAGUUUCCUGUGCCAAGGGAUGGAGAGUAAUACCCAGGUUGCACAGGAGGUUGGGUGGUGUUUGGUAGUAAAAUGAUAACGGUCUGGGGAGAGGAGUCCUUUUUUGUGCCAAAUCCCUAAGUGCCAUUUGGGGGCCACAUAUCUGCACUAUGACUGUCCCCCUGCCUAGGGCAGGGACCCAAGCACCUGCUUAAUCUCUAGUGUUCCUUGGAACUUGAACUGUUGGAGGUUUGUGGGUAGAGGUGCAGGCAUUUCCUGGGUUCCUGGGCUUGUCUCUUGGGGGCAUGGUGUGCUUUCUGACUGGGGUAGUGUGGGAUCCCUCUCUGAGGACCCCGAUGUUGGUACUAGGGGAUGGGAACCUAGGAACUUGGAACUGGGCUGCCCCAAGCCUUCGGCCUGAAUCUACCAUGGCUAGACUCUAGCCCCGGCUCCCAAUCUUCACGAAGCCUGCAAGGGUUGUACUCUGUCCUCGCCUGCCCUUGCCUGCCUCUGACCCUUGCAGCCUCCCUGACUCUGGUCUGAGUUAGCUGGUGCCUUGGUUUCUCUGUCUGCAUCUAGUUAAGCCAGAGGCAUUACGCCUCCAUGUCGACUGAUGAUCUUAGACGUGGGCAGGAAAGGCAGAGGAGAGUUUCAGGAGGUGCGGAAGGGGCAGGCUGUACUUUGGCCCUUCCUCAAGCUUCUGCCACCCAUUCUCUGCAGAGGCCUGGGUUCUGGUUUGGUACUGCUUUCCUGGAAAUCUCCAUGUACCAAUCGGUGGACCACUGGGCGCUUGAUUAGCCAAGGCAGAGGAGAGGAAGAUCAGCUGGUCCAGGCAGAAAAUUUCCUCUGUCUCCCCGAGCCAUAUCCUAGCCUUGGAUAGGAAGGGACUACUAGACGCCAUUGGGGCAGGUGUGAGGUAUAUAAGCCAAAGCAGGGAGACCUUGGCUUUGGGUCUGCUUCUUGCCAGGUGGGAGGGGCUUGUCCACACCCUGGCUCCCCGUACCACAGUGCCAGCCAGUCAUGUCCCUCUCUGAGUUACCGUAGCCACUCUCCUCACCAUUUGGGGAGGAAGUCAGGGCACGGGAGGCAAUGGGCUCUGGUUUUAUAAUGUAACCACUGUCGGAGUGGGGGAGGGUGACGUACCAUGUAUUUCAGUGAAAUAUUUAAUAUAUUUAAAUAUCAAUAAAAUCAAACUCUUUGUAUAAAAAAAAAAAAAAGAAAAGCCCUGUUCUCUGCAGCUGUUUGGGUGCAGGGUUGGGGGUCAGAAAGUGACAAACCCUGGUAAAGCAAGCAAGCUCCUCUCCCAGGAGUCUCUGGGCCUCUCUCAUCUGUGAUCUAACAGCUUCCUGUGGUUUUGUGCCUGUCAGGAUAAAGCUGCAGCCUCCUCAGACAGCAUGACUGCUCUAGGCCUUUCAGCAUCCUGAGGGCAAAUGUCUCACCCCAGGUGUUUGCUCUGACCCCUGCCGUGCAUUAGGUCUAGACCUCUGGUGUUGCCAUUAUAGCCCUUCACUUCUCUCACACCAAGAUCUAGCUUCAUGAGGAAUCUCACACAGGACUCAUGGCCUUGGGAUAACUCCCUUGCCUCCUCACACCCAGGAUGCAAAAGUGCCUUUUAGUUCAAUUUGUUUAUUCUGCACUCUUCCCCCCUCUCCCCACUUCUUUCAUGGCUUGGCCAUCUUCACCCCCUCCUCGCCCUCCCUUCCAGUUUUCAUCUGUCCUGCAAGCAUGCGCUCCUCAGUAAAGACUGAAGGUUUUGUCAUUGAGAUGAGAAUGGUCCACAAAUCUGAAAAAGAGAGAAACUGUCUCAGAUUGAGCCACGCCAGGAUAAAGGGAAAGGGAUAUACAAGAUCUUUGUGACUGCCGGGUGUGGUGGCACACACAUUUAAUCCCAGUACUUGGGAGGCAGAGGCAGGCAGAUUUCUGAGUUCGAGGCCAGCCUGGUCUACAGAGUGAGUUCCAGGACAGCCAGGGUUACCCUGUCUCAGAAAAGAACAAAAACAAAAACCAAAAAAAGACCUUUGUGACUGCCUCUGGGCAUGUGGGCACGCAUGAUGGAGAGGGACUACUGUCAAUGGAUGCUGGUUGGGGUGGAAACACCCUCAGGACCCCGCAGGAAUGCUAGAGACAUCGAUUCUGUGCCUAUUCAAAGUGUCACCCAUAAAGCAAAGCAGACAGAUCCAGCUACACCAUGUAGAGACCACACUGCCCCAGGGUCUGAGGCCCACUUUCCUUGAUAAGGCUCAAACCUCUUCUAUACUCUGACAUCCACACACACACACUUUUUUGAGCUCUGGCUCUCCUGGAACUCUGUAAACCAGACUGGCUCUGAACUCACAGACCACAGAGAUCCACUUGCUUUUGCCUCCCCAAUGCUGGAACUAAAGGUGCUUGACACUUAAAUGGAGCUGAAACAGACUCCGGGUUCACUGUGGGGAGAGAGUUUUUGCUGAUCUCCCACCCUGACCCUCCUCAGCAUCAGAUGAUGCCAAGACCUCACCUGGUCAUUGGGCUUUUAAUGAGACAAUGGUGUGGAGUCUUGAUCCAAGGAAUGGCUUUCUCUGGACGCACGCCUGGGAUGUUGGACCGCCAGAAGCUGAAGUUCUGAGCAUCAGUCACAGGGACUCUGAAGACCUGAUUGGGGACUUUUGGGAAGAAAGGCAGGUGUUCAUUUCCUCCAGAGUCUUUUGUUUUUCUGUCUUGGGAUCAAAAGCACGGUCCAGGAAGUUGUUGUAACCAGGUAUGGAAGGUGACCAGGUGCGGAAGGCUCCUGGGUAUGUGGUUGACACACCCUAGGUCACUUCUGGGUUCCACCAUCUCACACCCUUCAUGGUCACAUGGUUUAGUCUUGGAUUUUCCUGGUACUAAGUAAGCCCAUCUCUAAGACUUGUGGGAAAACAGGUGGAAACCCACUUGGGAAGUGUACAAAAUGGAGUAUUGAUUCAAUAUAUUUUUUAUUAUAUUAAAAAAAAAUUUUUUUUACUUAUUCACUUUACAUCCCGGUCACUGCCCUUCUCCAGUCACUUUGCUCCACAGUCCUCCCCCCAUCUCUCUUCUCUGUCUCCUCUGAGCGGUGGGACCCCCUAGGUGUCCCCCCAGCCCCCAGCCCGUCAAGUCUCUAUCUUCUCCCUCAAUAUCUUUUCUCAAUCGCCCUCACUCACUGUUCCCCUUCUGUCUGAAGUAACGCGUAAUCUGCUCAUUCUGAGGAGUUCCCUGAAACGGAAAAAAAAAUGACCCCACCCACUUUGAGAAACCACGUGCAGAUGCUAUCGUCAAGCACCUGCUGCUCAAAAUAUUAUAUAAGGUACUUGUGUGUGUGAAAGUGUACCUACAUACAGGCUUGUGUAUAUUCAGGUAUACACGGAAGCCAAAGGUUCCCGAGGAGCCGUCAAGAAAAGUCUGUCACUAGGACCAGGGGCUCCAUGAUUAGGCCAAGUUGGUUGCAGAGUCAACCAGCGUCAGAGAUACACCUGUCCCCUCUGCGGCUCUAGAGUUAUGAGUGUGUACUUCCAAGCCCAAGGAUCAAGCUCAGGUCCUUCUGCUUGCAGUGUAAGCACCUUACUGACUAAGGUGUGUGUGUGUGUGUGUGUGUGUGUGUGUGUGUGUGUGUGUGCGCGCGCGCACGUGUGCAUGUGCGUGCUUGCGUGUGCAUGUGCACAUGCUCUCAUUCCUGUGUGCGUGUGUGUGGAAGCCAGAGGUUUAAUGUUGACUGCCUUCCUCUAUUGCUUUGGUUUUCAUAAUCUCAUGUUGUCAAUUAAUAUAUUUUUGUUGUUUGAGACAGGGUCCCCUUUGCAUGUCCCUGGCUGUCCUGGAACUUACUAUGUAGACCAGGCUGGCCUCAAACUCAUAGGGAGUUUUGCCUCUGCUUCCCAAGUGCCAGGAGAUUAAAGGGUGGGCCACUGGGCCUUGCAAAAUUUCAUAUUUUAAAGAUCAAAUUAUGGUCUAAUAUUUUCUGGUUUUCUCUGUAAUCUUGAGAAUUUUUUAAAAUUCUUAAUCCUUUGACUAAAUGUUACAUUUUACCUAGCUGUUUUCCCAUUAAUUAAUAAGCUUUAAUUUUUUUUUCUGUUAGAAAUAAAUUAAAUGCCCUCUUUCUUAUA